GACGGGUAUCCGGCCUGAGAGGGUGAACGGACACACUGGAACUGAGACACGGUCCAGACUCCUACGGGAGGCAGCAGUAGGGAAUAUUGCUCAAUGGGGGAAACCCUGAAG
This 111-nucleotide ribosomal RNA is filed under the name uncultured Helicobacter sp. Its description in RNAcentral is "partial 16S ribosomal RNA". It matches the Rfam family "Bacterial small subunit ribosomal RNA", at positions 278 to 388 of the family's 1533-position model. The record is from RNAcentral. Lineage: Bacteria; Pseudomonadati; Campylobacterota; Epsilonproteobacteria; Campylobacterales; Helicobacteraceae.